CCGGCGCACGGGUGAGUAACACGUAUCCAACCUGCCGUCUACUCUUGGACAGCCUUCUGAAAGGAAGAUUAAUACAAGAUGGCAUCAUGAGUCCGCAUGUCCACAUGAUUAAAGGUAUUCCGGUAGACGAUGGGGAUGCGUUCCAUUAGAUAGUAGGCGGGGUAACGGCCCACCUAGUCUUCGAUGGAUAGGGGUUCUGAGAGGAAGGUCCCCCACAUUGGAACUGAGACACGGUCCAAACUCCUACGGGAGGCAGCAG
Molecule: ribosomal RNA, 259 nt
Filed under: uncultured bacterium
Lineage: Bacteria
Description: partial 16S ribosomal RNA
Rfam family: Bacterial small subunit ribosomal RNA
Source: RNAcentral